This 431-nucleotide ribosomal RNA is filed under the name uncultured bacterium. RNAcentral's name for it is "partial 16S ribosomal RNA". It matches the Rfam family "Bacterial small subunit ribosomal RNA", at positions 29 to 507 of the family's 1533-position model. The record is from RNAcentral.
AACGAACGCUGGCGGCAGGCUUAACACAUGCAAGUCGAGCGCCCCGCCAGGGGAGCGGCGGACGGGUGGGUAACGCGUGGGGACGUACCCUUAUCUUCAGGAUAGCCCCGGGAAACUGGAAUUAAUACCGAAUGUGCCCUUUGGGGGAAAGAUAUAUCGGAUAAGGAUCGGCCCGCGUUGGAUUAGCUAGUUGGUGGGGUAAAGGCCUACCAAGGCGACGAUCCAUAGCUGGUCUGAGAGGAUGAUCAGCCACAUUGGGACUGAGACACGGACCAAACUCCUACGCGAGGGAGCAGUGGGGAAUAUUGGACAAUGGGCGCAAGCCUGAUCCAGCCAUGCCGCGUGAGUGAUGAAGGCCUUAGGGUUGUAAAGCUCUUUCACCGGAGAAGAUAAUGACGGUAUCCGGAGAAGAAGCCCCGGCUAACUUCGUG